Molecule: ribosomal RNA, 1077 nt
Filed under: Leuconostoc mesenteroides
Lineage: Bacteria; Bacillati; Bacillota; Bacilli; Lactobacillales; Lactobacillaceae
Description: bacterial SSU rRNA
Rfam family: Bacterial small subunit ribosomal RNA
Source: RNAcentral
GGGGGCGGCGUGCUAUACAUGCAGUCGACGCACAGCGAAAGGUGCUUGCACCUUUCAAGUGAGUGGCGAACGGGUGAGUAACACGUGGACAACCUGCCUCAAGGCUGGGGAUAACAUUUGGAAACAGAUGCUAAUACCGAAUAAAACUUAGUGUCGCAUGACACAAAGUUAAAAGGCGCUUCGGCGUCACCUAGAGAUGGAUCCGCGGUGCAUUAGUUAGUUGGUGGGGUAAAGGCCUACCAAGACAAUGAUGCAUAGCCGAGUUGAGAGACUGAUCGGCCACAUUGGGACUGAGACACGGCCCAAACUCCUACGGGAGGCUGCAGUAGGGAAUCUUCCACAAUGGGCGAAAGCCUGAUGGAGCAACGCCGCGUGUGUGAUGAAGGCUUUCGGGUCGUAAAGCACUGUUGUAUGGGAAGAACAGCUAGAAUAGGAAAUGAUUUUAGUUUGACGGUACCAUACCAGAAAGGGACGGCUAAAUACGUGCCAGCAGCCGCGGUAAUACGUAUGUCCCGAGCGUUAUCCGGAUUUAUUGGGCGUAAAGCGAGCGCAGACGGUUUAUUAAGUCUGAUGUGAAAGCCCGGAGCUCAACUCCGGAAUGGCAUUGGAAACUGGUUAACUUGAGUGCAGUAGAGGUAAGUGGAACUCCAUGUGUAGCGGUGGAAUGCGUAGAUAUAUGGAAGAACACCAGUGGCGAAGGCGGCUUACUGGACUGCAACUGACGUUGAGGCUCGAAAGUGUGGGUAGCAAACAGGAUUAGAUACCCUGGUAGUCCACACCGUAAACGAUGAACACUAGGUGUUAGGAGGUUUCCGCCUCUUAGUGCCGAAGCUAACGCAUUAAGUGUUCCGCCUGGGGAGUACGACCGCAAGGUUGAAACUCAAAGGAAUUGACGGGGACCCGCACAAGCGGUGGAGCAUGUGGUUUAAUUCGAAGCAACGCGAAGAACCUUACCAGGUCUUGACAUCCUUUGAAGCUUUUAGAGAUAGAAGUGUUCUCUUCGGAGACAAAGUGACAGGUGGUGCAUGGUCGUCGUCAGCUCGUGUCGUGAGAUGUUGGGUUAAGUCCCGCAACGAG